AACAUCGCGCACCUGCGGGAACCUGCGGAGGGAUCAUUGAUGAACUCGAGGCGGCGUCGGACUGUGCUGGCCCCUUGGGGCAUGUGCACGUUCGGUGCCGUCCAUCUCACACACACACCCGUGCACAACACGGAGGUGUGGCGCGUUCGUAGGGUCUGCCGGCGCCUCGUCGGCUCUCCCGGGGACGAGCCGCCCUUCUACUCUUCAUACACACCUUUGACCUGUCGCGCGCGUAGUUGA
RNAcentral lists this unclassified non-coding RNA (240 nucleotides) under soil metagenome. RNAcentral's name for it is "partial contains 5.8S ribosomal RNA, internal transcribed spacer 2, and large subunit ribosomal RNA". The record is from RNAcentral.